GGAAGAGAAAGUCCUCCGAGAAGAGGAGGGUACGAGAAGAGGAGGGUACGUGGAGGAGAAGCGCUUGGUGGCCUUUCAGGACACAGUGGUUCAUUUCUCCAAAGAGGAUCAGCAUAUCCCAGAUUGAUGGGCAGAGGGCUCAGCCGAAGGAGAUCUCACUGGAGAAUCACGGGAAGGAGGCUUCCCUCAGUAAAGAACAGGACAACUAUAAUAGUUUG
Non-coding RNA from Pogona vitticeps (central bearded dragon), 218 nucleotides. The record is from RefSeq and is a predicted model, not a curated record. Lineage: Eukaryota; Metazoa; Chordata; Lepidosauria; Squamata; Agamidae.